GAUAUGAUCACCAAGGAAGAGAGGAUAGGAGGAAAAGAGAAGGUCCAGGAUAGAAUUUUGAGGAGUGCUCAUAUUUAGGUAAUGGAAAUGGAUGAUCCAGCAGUGAUGACUAAGGAAUGGUCAGAUAGGAGAACCAGGAGUGACCAAUGUCACAAAUGUGGAUGAGAUGGUCAAAUAGUGUUAAGAUAUGCAGCAAAGAUAUGAAGGAGAAGGACUGAUAAAAGGCCUUUGGAUUUGGCACUUAAACCUUUAAGAGAGAGUUCAUUUGAGUAUUCUUGGUCAUUUGAGUGCACGGGCAGAAGCAGGUUGCUAAGGGGUGAAUUGUGAGAGGGCAAUGAGAAAAUAUAGGCAAUGAGUGUUAGUGGUGCUCUCUGGGAUUUUAAUAAUGAGAAGAGUAGAGGCAGACUAAAUGUAUGACAUAAUCAAGUGGAAGUUUUUUUUUUUUGAAGGAUAAAGGACAUCUGAGCAUGUUUGAAGGCAGAGAAGGAGCAAGCAAAUGGGGAAAGGCUGACAUGAGAGGGCACGUGAUAUUUGAUGGGGUCAAUUAACUAAAGAAAGAGAAAGUUGGCUCAAGUAGAAUAGUAGCCUUAGCAAGGAAAAGGGAUACUUCAUUGAUUAUUAUUAAUGAACUCCCGUUCAUGAGACAUAGCCUUGAUUUUUCUCAUUGAAAUGGGAAGGGAAGUAAUCUGCUCAGAAGAGAGAGUCUGGAAGGUUGGCAGGGGCUUCAAGAGGGAGCAGUGCUUUUGGAAUAACCAAUGGGAGGGAUGUAUUAGAGUCAAUUUGAGAGAGAAAAAUGUCCUACAAUAGAGAGAGCAUGAAAGGAAGUAUGAUAGAGUUCAUUGUUGUUCAGUCAUGCCUGACUCUUUUGAUAGCCCCCCCCCCCUUUUGGGCAAAGAUAUAGGAAUAGCUUGCCAUUUCUUUUUCAGGUUCAUUUUACAGAUGAUGAAACUGAGGCAGAGGAUGAUUUGCUUGAAGUCACACAGCAAAGGUUGAGCAGUCUUCCAGAGAGCAAUGUUCACCAGCUCCUUCCCAGCAGCCCUCCUUCUAUAAGGGGCGAUGGAUUUACCCUGUUGCCUGGAGACUGGACUCAAACAGAGACCCAGAGAGAGCACCCAGGAGCUGGCUCCGGAGGGUUUAAGAACAAGUCCUGGAGCGGAUAACUCCUGGAGCGGAUAAUGGAGCCAAGUAACUCCAGCAAAGUGAAGCCUCAGCUCAAGCUGGAGGGAGAUGACAGGAAGAAGAAGGCAGUGUCUGAGGACCCCCUCCCCAGGCAGGACUUACCUUCCACC
Molecule: long non-coding RNA, 1289 nt
Filed under: Monodelphis domestica (gray short-tailed opossum)
Lineage: Eukaryota; Metazoa; Chordata; Mammalia; Didelphimorphia; Didelphidae
Description: lncRNA (ENSMODG00000036932.1)
Source: RNAcentral